This 254-nucleotide ribosomal RNA is filed under the name uncultured bacterium. RNAcentral describes it as "partial 16S ribosomal RNA". It matches the Rfam family "Bacterial small subunit ribosomal RNA", at positions 524 to 776 of the family's 1533-position model. The record is from RNAcentral.
UACGAAGGGGGCGAGCGUUGUCCGGAUUUAUUGGGCGUAAAGAGCUCGUAGGCGGUUCGAUAAGUCAGGUGUAAAAACUCCAGGCUCAACUUGGAGAGGCCACCUGAUACUGUCGUGACUAGAGUCCGGUAGAGGAGCACGGAAUUCCUGGUGUAGCGGUGAAAUGCGCAGAUAUCAGGAGGAACACCAGCGGCGAAGGCGGUGCUCUGGGCCGGAACUGACGCUGAGGAGCGAAAGCGUGGGGAGCGAACAGG